GAUGAACGCUGGCGGCGUGCCUAAUACAUGCAAGUCGAGCGAACAGACGAGAGUGCUUGCACUCUCUGACGUUAGCGGCGGACGGGUGAGUAACACGUGGGUAACCUACCUAUAAGACUGGGAUAACUUCGGGAAACCGGAGCUAAUACCGGAUAAUAUUUAGCUUCGCAUGAAGCAAUAGUGAAAGACGGUUCUGCUGUCACUUAUAGAUGGACCCGCGGUGUAUUAGCUGGUUGGUGAGGUAACGGCUCACCAAGGCAACGAUACAUAGCCGACCUGAGAGGGUGAUCGGCCACACUGGGACUGAGACACGGCCCAGACUCCUACGGGAGGCAGCAGUAGGGAAUCUUCCGCAAUGGACGAAAGUCUGACGGAGCAAUGCCGCGUGAGUGAAGAAGGUGUUCGGAUCGUAAAACUCUGUUGUAAGGGAAGAACAAGUACGUUAGUAACUGAACGUACCUUGACGGUACCUUACCAGAAAGCCACGGCUAACUACGUG
RNAcentral lists this ribosomal RNA (499 nucleotides) under uncultured bacterium. RNAcentral describes it as "partial 16S ribosomal RNA". It matches the Rfam family "Bacterial small subunit ribosomal RNA", at positions 28 to 507 of the family's 1533-position model. The record is from RNAcentral.